RNAcentral lists this ribosomal RNA (488 nucleotides) under uncultured bacterium. RNAcentral describes it as "partial 16S ribosomal RNA". It matches the Rfam family "Bacterial small subunit ribosomal RNA", at positions 28 to 507 of the family's 1533-position model. The record is from RNAcentral.
GACGAACGCUGGCGGCGUGCUUAACACAUGCAAGUCGAACGGAAAGGCCCUGCUUUUGUGGGGUGCUCGAGUGGCGAACGGGUGAGUAACACGUGAGUAACCUGCCCCUGACUGUGGGAUAACUUCAGGAAACUGGGGCUAAUAUCGGAUAGGAGCUCCUGCUGCAUGGUGGGGGUUGGAAAGUUUCGGCGUUGGGGGAUGGACUCGCGGCGUAUCCGCUUGUUGGGGGGGUAGUGGCGUACAAAGGCUUUGACGGGUAGGCGGCCUGUGAGGGUGAUCGGCCACAUGGGAACGGGGACGCGGUCCAGAGUCCUGCGGGAGGCAGCAGUACGGAAUGGUGCGCAAUGGGGGAAAUCCUGACGGAGCGACGCCGCGUGAGGGAUGAAGGUCCCCGGUGCGGAAAACGCUGUUAUGAGUGAAAAACAAAUUUGGAAGUAACUAUGCACGGCUUGACGGUACCGAAUAAGAAAGCCCCGGCUAACUACGUG